UAGUCAGAAAUUUCUGAUUUAUCUGCUCACUGGAAUAUUCUUAAAAGCUUAUAAGGUAGCGUAUAAUAAGCGUAGUAAUUCUACGUCGGAUGAAGAUAUAACCCCCUUAUCCUUUCUUAGGAGAAAAUUUUGAACUUUAUUUUAGAGUGAAAAACCUCUAAUACCCUUAAAAGACGAUAAGACCCUAGGAUCUUUAUAUUUUUAAUUGGGUCAAUAGUCAAAAAUAAUAGUGACUUCUUAGCCUCUUAAUGAACCAAAUUCCUGUUGCAAGACAAAGAUACCCUAGGGAUAACAGCACUAACUUCCUCUAAAGCCCCUAUUGAAAGAAAAGUAGUGACCUCGAUGUUGAAUUAAGAUUGGAGAGGCCGAAGCCGGCUUUCUUCCUGGGUCUGUUCGACCCUUUCAUCUUACGUGAUCUGAGUUCAGACCGG
This 431-nucleotide ribosomal RNA is filed under the name Nemesis sp. 3 SMD-2013. Its description in RNAcentral is "partial 16S ribosomal RNA". The stretch from base 142 to 431 matches the Rfam family "Bacterial large subunit ribosomal RNA", at positions 2048 to 2619 of the family's 2925-position model. The record is from RNAcentral. Lineage: Eukaryota; Metazoa; Arthropoda; Copepoda; Siphonostomatoida; Eudactylinidae.